UUUGGUGGCGAUAGCGAAGAGGUCACACCCGUUCCCAUACCGAACACGGAAGUUAAGCUCUUCAGCGCCGAUGGUAGUNCUGAGGUGGAAGUGUGGCGACACAUGGAGCUGACAGAU
RNAcentral lists this ribosomal RNA (117 nucleotides) under Bacillus subtilis subsp. subtilis. Lineage: Bacteria; Bacillati; Bacillota; Bacilli; Caryophanales; Bacillaceae. The record is from RNAcentral.